UACGAAAAGGGCUAGCAUUGUUCGGAAUUACUGGGCGUAAAGCGCGCGCAGGCGGUUUUUCAAGUCAGUGGUGAAAGCCCGGAGCUCAACUCCGGAACUGCCAUUGAAACUGUAAAACUUGAGGAUGAGAGAGGUGAGUGGAAUUCCCAGUGUAGAGGUGAAAUUCGUAGAUAUUGGGAAGAACACCGGUGGCGAAGGCGGCUCACUGGCUCAUAUCUGACGCUUAGGCGCGACAGCGUGGGGAUCAAACAGG
This 253-nucleotide ribosomal RNA is filed under the name uncultured bacterium. RNAcentral's name for it is "partial 16S ribosomal RNA". It matches the Rfam family "Bacterial small subunit ribosomal RNA", at positions 524 to 776 of the family's 1533-position model. The record is from RNAcentral.